Molecule: long non-coding RNA, 3850 nt
Filed under: Homo sapiens (human)
Lineage: Eukaryota; Metazoa; Chordata; Mammalia; Primates; Hominidae
Description: HSALNT0005443
Source: RNAcentral
AAAAAAAAAAAGAUAAAUGAAUAAAGCUUAACAGGAUGGCAAAUUUGAGCUAUAACCAAUAUAAUUAAUUUAAAAUGCCUUUAAAUAUUUGCCUUUAUUUGGCUAGUGCUACUUUCCUAACCACAAGAAGUGAAAAUUGAGAUAGGCCAGCUGUGAAAAUAGCCACCAACCAGGCAAGCUGGGAUAACUGUUCAUUUUUAAACACACAAUUGCUUUAUUCAGAUUUAAGCACGUUAAGUAAUAAAAAUUUUUGUAAUCUGUCAUAUGUAUGUGAAAUCUGUCCUAUUUGAACAGAACAAAAAUUAUCAAAGCCAGUAAAUCCUGAUUAUAACGAUAAAUGAGUAAAUGAUGUCAACUAUCUAAAAUUUACUGCAGGGCUGGGCAUGGUGGUUCAUCCCUAUAACCUCAGCAGAGGAUUACUUGAGGCUAGGAGUUCAAGACCAGCCUGAGCAACGCAGUAAGACCCUAAAACCAACCAAACAAAAAAAGCUUAGCCACUCUUGGUGGCACACCUGUAGUCCCAAUUACUGAGGAGGCAGAGGCAGCGGGGGGCGGGCAGGGUGGUCAUUGAGCCCAGGAUUUAAGGCUGCAGUAAGCUGUGAUCUCACCAGUAUACUCCAGCCUGGGUGACAGAGUAAUAUCUUCUCUCAAAUAAAAUAAAAUUCACUAACUAAAGCUGGGCACAGAGGCUCAUGCCUAUAAUCCCAGAUACUUGGAAGGCUGAGGUGGGAGAUCACUUGAGCCCAGGAGUUCAAGGCUGCAGCGAGCUUCGAUUUUGCCACUAUACUCCAGCCUGGCAACAAAGUUAGGUAAAUCCAUUAAAGUGGUAAAAGGCAGGUUGAGAACUAAGGUGUCUCAAAUAAUUUUUUUUUUUUUUUGAGAUGGAGUCCACGCUGUCGCCCAGGCUGCAGUGCAAUGGCAUGAUCUUGGCUCACUGCAACCUCCGCCUCCCGGGUUCAAGUGAUUCUCCUGCCUCAGCCUCCCUCGAGUAGCUGGGAUUACAGGCACCCACCACCACGCCCAGCUAAUUUUCGUAUUUUUAGAGACGGGGUUUCGCUAUGUUGGCCAGGCUGGUCUUGAACUCCUGACCUUAGGUGAUCCGCCCACCUUGCCCUCCCAAAGUGCUGGGAUUACAUUACAUGCAUGAGCCACCACGCCUGGCUUUUUUUUUUUUGAGAUGGAGUCUUGUUCUGUUGCCCAGGCUCGAAUGCAGUGGCAUGAUCUCGGCUCACUGCAACCUCUGCCUCCCAAGUUCAAGCAAUUCUCCUGCCUCAGCCUCCUGAGUAGCUGGGGACUACAGGCGCACGCAACUAUGCCUGGCUAACUUUUGUAAUUUUAGUAGAGAUGGGGUUUCACCAUGUUGGCCAGGCUGGUCUCGAACUCCUGACUUCAAGAGAUCCACCCACUUCAGCCUCCCAGAGUACUGGGAUUACAGGCUCAAAUAAAUUUUUUCCCCCCAGAUGGAGCCUUGCUCUGUCCCUCAGGCUGGAGUGCAGUGGUGCGAUAUCGGCUUACUGCAACCUCUGCCACCCAGGUUCAAGCGAUUCUCCUGCCUCAGCCUCCCUAGUAGCUGUGAUUACAGGUGCCCGCCACCAUCCCCAGCUAUUUUUUGUAUUUUUAGUGGAGACGGGGUUUCAGCAUCUUGGCCAGGUUGGUCUUGAACUCCGGAACUCAUGAUCCACCUGCCCUGGCCUCCCAAACUGCUGGGAUUACAGGUGUAAACCACCAUGCCUGGCCACUCAAAUAAUUUUUAAAACAGUAAGUCAGAAUGUCCAGGGCUUGGUUUAUUCCAAAUUAAGUAUUUCAGGCUCCAAGUAUGUUAACUCCAAAUAAGCAUGAUCAAAAAUGGGCAUUUUAUGGUGUAUUUUGUAAAAAUAUUUGCAUAGUUAUAAAUUGAUGUAAAAUGAUUACCCACCCAAAUAUAUAAACAUGCCUGAAACCACGACAGCCAGUAUGUUACUCAUGAGGAUGCAAGAUGUCACUUCAAUCAUCCAUUCAAAUCUGUACACUGGAACACUGAAAUCAACAUCCAAUAGUAACCUACAGCCUGACAGAUCAAACAUGCGCUAGGAUAAGUUCUUCUUCAAUUACUACAAUAAUGUGACUUUUUUAAACAAAGCCAACCAUUGAAAAUCAUGGAAAAUGAUUCCACUGUAUGUAUGCUGCCAAUGUUCAGAUGAUGUACUGUACCCUUGAUUUAGCCCAUUACCUAGCUCAUUUCAACAAAUUAUAUAUAAAUUUAUAAAAAUCGGAAAGGAAAUUUAGCUCUGUUAACAGCAAGAAGCACAUUUUGGUAGGAAUUUAGCUACUAAGCAAGAACUUUAAAUUACUCUGUGUUUUGGCCAGUGUGGUGGCUCACCUGAGGUCAGGAGCUCGAGACCAGCCUGGCCCACAUGGUGAAACCCUAUCUCUACUAAAAAUAUAAAAAAUUAGCCAGGCGUGGUGGCUGGCACCUAUAAUCCCAGCUACUCAGGAGGAUGAGGCAGAGAAUCACUUGAACCCGGGAGGCAGAGGUUGCAGUGAGCUGAGACUGCACCAUUGCACUGCAGCCUGGGUGACAAGAGCAAAACUCUAUCUCAAAAAUAAAUGAAUAAAUACAUACACACAUAUAUACAUACAAACAUCACUCUGUGUUUCUACAUAGCAAGAAGCCCAUGAAGUCCAGUUAACAUGUUACACUGAGAUUCAGAAUUUAGGUAUUUUAGGAAUGAAGUAAAUAAAACUGUGGAAUUAAGGGAUGAUCAUCCCCUAAAAAAGGCUAUUACAGAAAAAAAAAAUUUUUAAAGCUAUUACAAUAGUAAUUGACCCCCAUGACCUCUUUUCUCUCCCAUACAAUUCUGUUAAAUAAAACACAUAUGCUAGUCUUCGCCAGUUACUUAGGACACAACCGUGAAUUAGACAACAUAUUGGUUAGUAUAUCACAGUCUAGCUGGGGCAGAACAGACAUGUAACUACAUCUGAAGAAAUACAAAUGUGUAACACAAAAUUUAAGCUUAGCACAUUACAGAAAUCAAAGGCCAGUCUAUCAAAUACUCACUGAAAGCUUACUGUGGAGGUUCAAAGUUCAACUUUAUGACUUUAAAAUGGCUGCCGUAAUUACACCUCUCUAUAUACAAACACCAUCUCACUCAAAAUGGUCACCUUUUUCAAAUGCAUGACUAUUCCAAUUACGUUACCACUGAGAGGCAUCUACAGGGAGCUUACUCCUCUAGUACUUCUUUAAUUUUCUUCAACAGCCAAAAAUCUUUUGGGGUCAAGAUUAAUAAAUAAGUUAAACAUAACUGCUAUAAAGUUUAAAACAUUUUUACUUUUUACUGUGGUUUGUAAAUGUCUCUGAGCGAAAUUUCUAAAAUAAUAAAAACCGUUCUGAGUGACAGUUACAUAGUUUUUUGUUUUUGUUUGGUUUUUUGAGACAGGGUCUCAUUGUGUCACCCAUACUAGAGUGCUGCAGUGUGAUCUUGGCUCAUCACAACCUCCACUCCCAGGCUCAAGCGAUUCUCCUGCCUCAGCCUCCUGAGUAGCUGGGAUUAUAGGUGCGUACCACUACCAUCCGGCUUUUUUUUUUUUUUUUUUUUUUUUUUGCGACGGAGUCUCGCUCUGUCACCCAGGCUGGAGUGCAAUGGCGCCCGAUCUCGGCUCACUGCAAGCUCUGCCUCCCAGGUUCACACUAUUCUCCUGCCUCAGCCUUACGAGUAGCUGGGACUACAGGCACGCCCGCCACCAGGUCGGCUAAUUUUCCGUAUUUUUAGUAGAGACAGGGUUUCACUGUGUUAGCCAGGAUGGUCUUGAUCUCCUGACCUUGUGAUCUGCCCGUCUCGGCCUCCCAAAGUGCUGGGAUUACAGGCAUGAG